RNAcentral lists this ribosomal RNA (208 nucleotides) under uncultured bacterium. RNAcentral describes it as "partial 16S ribosomal RNA". It matches the Rfam family "Bacterial small subunit ribosomal RNA", at positions 1293 to 1500 of the family's 1533-position model. The record is from RNAcentral.
UCGGAUUGUAGGCUGCAACUCGCCUACAUGAAGUUGGAAUCGCUAGUAAUCGCGAAUCAGAAUGUCGCGGUGAAUACGUUCCCGGGUCUUGUACACACCGCCCGUCACACCACGAGAGUUUACAACACCCGAAGUCAGUGGCCUAACCGCAAGGAGGGAGCUGCCUAAGGUGGGGUAGAUGAUUGGGGUGAAGUCGUAACAAGGUAGC